Long non-coding RNA from Balaenoptera ricei (Rice's whale), 662 nucleotides. RefSeq lists it as uncharacterized. The transcript is spliced from 3 exons. Lineage: Eukaryota; Metazoa; Chordata; Mammalia; Artiodactyla; Balaenopteridae. The record is from RefSeq and is a predicted model, not a curated record.
UAGCAGCACGUAUCUCUGAGGGCUGUUGUGAACAGCCAGUGAGCUAAAGCCAAGGGCAAGGCCUGGAACUCCAGGUUCCAGCUCCCAGGUCGAGUGGCUGCUAAAUGCCUCUGGAACAGGACCUAAGAAUCACCCCAGACCCAGGGGGAGGAAGGAGAGUGACCAAAACUCUACAGAAGCAGCACUACCACCAGCCUGUCCCCCGGGUUCCCCUGCACGGAAGACACAUCCUGAACCAACACUGUCCCAAUAUCAGGGAAACCAGCUUCUUUUCAUUUCAUCAACAAAACUGGACACGGAUCAAUUUCAACUGACCUUUGCCGAAAGGUGGCGCUGUUGAGGUAAAAACCAAGUCGGUCCAACAAUAGUUUUCACUCUUCGAUCGUUUUGCAGGCUUUUCAGAAUUUUUUUUUUUUUUAAUGCACCCUCCUAGCGUCCCCCCCUCCCAUAAAAUAAGAUAAAUAUGAUUAACACCAAAUGCAUUUCAUUAACUGAAGGAAUCAACAGUCCAACAUCCAAGCGGGCGGGCUGGUCUUCCAAACGCUGGGUCGGCUUCACGCACUCUUGCUUUCCCCCAAGUCAAUCUCGGCUUCUCCAUCUGGUCUAUCGCUUUAAAAUCUUAGAAACAGAGUUGUUGGUUCUUUUUUCUUUUCUUUCUCUUU